Molecule: long non-coding RNA, 324 nt
Organism: Ruditapes philippinarum (Manila clam)
Lineage: Eukaryota; Metazoa; Mollusca; Bivalvia; Venerida; Veneridae
Exons: 3
Source: RefSeq, a predicted model, not a curated record
CAGGGUACGGUAAAUUCGAGCAUUUAUGGGCUUGUUGGAACUUGGGCUCUACCGACGGAAAGAAGCCGAUUUCUUGGAAUAUGUUGGUUUGGGAACCACCUGGGUGCAAUUAUCGGUCUCUCGACUUCAGGACUUCUUUGUGUCUAUGGCUUUGAUAAUGGUUGGGCAUCAAUAUUUUAUAUACAAGGUACUUUGACGUUAAUAUUUGUUGGCUGCUGGUGGUUUCUGGUCUUUAGUUCGCCAAAAAAUCAUCCGAGAAUAUCGUCUGUGGAAAGAAAUCUGAUUAUUAAACACGUUCCACAAGACACACAAACUGAUAGAACG